UAUCGCCAGGAUACAUUAGCAUGGAAUAAUACUAUAGGAUCUUGAUCCUAUUUUGUUGGUUUCUAGGAGCAAGAUAAUGAUUAAUAGGGACAAUUGGGGGCAUUUGUAUCAACACGCUAGAGGUGAAAUUCUUGGAUUGUGUUGCGACAAACUACUGCGAAAGCAUUUGCCAAGGAUGUUUUCAUUGAUCAAGAACGAAAGUUAGGGGAUCGAAGAUGAUUAGAUACCGUCGUAGUCUUAACCAUAAACUAUGCCAACUAGAGAUGGGACAUCGUUCACAUACGACUUGUUCCGCACCUUAUGAGAUAUCAAAGUCUUUGGGUUCCGGGGGGAGUAUGGUCGCAAGUCUGAAACUUAAAGGAAUUGACGGAAGGGCACCACCAGGAGUGGAGCCUGCGGCUUAAUUUGACUCAACACGGGGAAACUCACCAGGUCCAGACAUAAUAAGGAUUGACAGAUUGAUAGCUCUUUCUUGAUUUUAUGGGUGGUGGUGCAUGGCCGUUCUUAGUUCGUGGAGUGAUUUGUCUGCUUAAUUGCGUUAACGAACGAGACCUUAACCUGCUAAAUAGGAGCGCAUAUCUCCGGAUAAGCGCCUUUCUUCUUAGAGGGACUUUAUGCGUUUCAGCAUGAGGAAGUUUGAGGCUAAAACAGGUCUGUGAUGCCCUUAGAUGUUCUGGGCUGCACGCGCGCUACACUGAUGCGUUCAACGAGUGUACAACCUUGCCCGAUAGGGUUGGGUAACCUUUUGAACACGCAUCGUGAUGGGGAUAGAGUAUUGUAAUUAUUACUCUUCAACGAGGAAUUCCUAGUAAUGAUGGUUCAUCAGACCGUCGUGAUUACGUCCCUGCCCUUUGUACACACCGCCCGUCGCUCCUACCGAUUGAACAAUCCGGUGAAUAUUUCGGACCGGCAUCCGUCGGGGCAACUCGUUCGGAAGCUGGAAAGUCAAGUUAACCUUAUUGUUUAGAGGAAGGAGAAGUCGUAACAAGGUUUCCGUAG
RNAcentral lists this ribosomal RNA (999 nucleotides) under Amoebophrya sp. Its description in RNAcentral is "SSU rRNA". It matches the Rfam family "Eukaryotic small subunit ribosomal RNA", at positions 789 to 1808 of the family's 1831-position model. The record is from RNAcentral. Lineage: Eukaryota; Dinophyceae; Syndiniales; Amoebophryaceae.